UUAAGCGACUAAGCGUACACGGUGGAUGCCCUGGCAGUCAGAGGCGAUGAAGGACGUGCUAAUCUGCGAUAAGCGUCGGUAAGGUGAUAUGAACCGUUAUAACCGGCGAUUUCCGAAUGGGGAAACCCAGUGUGUUUCGACACACUAUCAUUAACUGAAUCCAUAGGUUAAUGAGGCGAACCGGGGGAACUGAAACAUCUAAGUACCCCGAGGAAAAGAAAUCAACCGAGAUUCCCCCAGUAGCGGCGAGCGAACGGGGAGGAGCCCAGAGCCUGAAUCAGUGUGUGUGUUAGUGGAAGCGUCUGGAAAGGCGCGCGAUACAGGGUGACAGCCCCGUACACAAAAAUGCACAUGCUGUGAGCUCGAUGAGUAGGGCGGGACACGUGGUAUCCUGUCUGAAUAUGGGGGGACCAUCCUCCAAGGCUAAAUACUCCUGACUGACCGAUAGUGAACCAGUACCGUGAGGGAAAGGCGAAAAGAACCCCGGCGAGGGGAGUGAAAAAGAACCUGAAACCGUGUACGUACAAGCAGUGGGAGCACGCUUCGGCGUGUGACUGCGUACCUUUUGUAUAAUGGGUCAGCGACUUAUAUUCUGUAGCAAGGUUAACCGAAUAGGGGAGCCGAAGGGAAACCGAGUCUUAACUGGGCGUUAAGUUGCAGGGUAUAGACCCGAAACCCGGUGAUCUAGCCAUGGGCAGGUUGAAGGUUGGGUAACACUAACUGGAGGACCGAACCGACUAAUGUUGAAAAAUUAGCGGAUGACUUGUGGCUGGGGGUGAAAGGCCAAUCAAACCGGGAGAUAGCUGGUUCUCCCCGAAAGCUAUUUAGGUAGCGCCUCGUGAAUUCAUCUCCGGGGGUAGAGCACUGUUUCGGCAAGGGGGUCAUCCCGACUUACCAACCCGAUGCAAACUGCGAAUACCGGAGAAUGUUAUCACGGGAGACACACGGCGGGUGCUAACGUCCGUCGUGAAGAGGGAAACAACCCAGACCGCCAGCUAAGGUCCCAAAGUCAUGGUUAAGUGGGAAACGAUGUGGGAAGGCCCAGACAGCCAGGAUGUUGGCUUAGAAGCAGCCAUCAUUUAAAGAAAGCGUAAUAGCUCACUGGUCGAGUCGGCCUGCGCGGAAGAUGUAACGGGGCUAAACCAUGCACCGAAGCUGCGGCAGCGACACUGUGUGUUGUUGGGUAGGGGAGCGUUCUGUAAGCCUGUGAAGGUGUACUGUGAGGUAUGCUGGAGGUAUCAGAAGUGCGAAUGCUGACAUAAGUAACGAUAAAGCGGGUGAAAAGCCCGCUCGCCGGAAGACCAAGGGUUCCUGUCCAACGUUAAUCGGGGCAGGGUGAGUCGACCCCUAAGGCGAGGCCGAAAGGCGUAGUCGAUGGGAAACAGGUUAAUAUUCCUGUACUUGGUGUUACUGCGAAGGGGGGACGGAGAAGGCUAUGUUGGCCGGGCGACGGUUGUCCCGGUUUAAGCGUGUAGGCUGGUUUUCCAGGCAAAUCCGGAAAAUCAAGGCUGAGGCGUGAUGACGAGGCACUACGGUGCUGAAGCAACAAAUGCCCUGCUUCCAGGAAAAGCCUCUAAGCAUCAGGUAACAUCAAAUCGUACCCCAAACCGACACAGGUGGUCAGGUAGAGAAUACCAAGGCGCUUGAGAGAACUCGGGUGAAGGAACUAGGCAAAAUGGUGCCGUAACUUCGGGAGAAGGCACGCUGAUAUGUAGGUGAAGCGACUUGCUCGUGGAGCUGAAAUCAGUCGAAGAUACCAGCUGGCUGCAACUGUUUAUUAAAAACACAGCACUGUGCAAACACGAAAGUGGACGUAUACGGUGUGACGCCUGCCCGGUGCCGGAAGGUUAAUUGAUGGGGUUAGCGCAAGCGAAGCUCUUGAUCGAAGCCCCGGUAAACGGCGGCCGUAACUAUAACGGUCCUAAGGUAGCGAAAUUCCUUGUCGGGUAAGUUCCGACCUGCACGAAUGGCGUAAUGAUGGCCAGGCUGUCUCCACCCGAGACUCAGUGAAAUUGAACUCGCUGUGAAGAUGCAGUGUACCCGCGGCAAGACGGAAAGACCCCGUGAACCUUUACUAUAGCUUGACACUGAACAUUGAGCCUUGAUGUGUAGGAUAGGUGGGAGGCUUUGAAGUGUGGACGCCAGUCUGCAUGGAGCCGACCUUGAAAUACCACCCUUUAAUGUUUGAUGUUCUAACGUUGACCCGUAAUCCGGGUUGCGGACAGUGUCUGGUGGGUAGUUUGACUGGGGCGGUCUCCUCCUAAAGAGUAACGGAGGAGCACGAAGGUUGGCUAAUCCUGGUCGGACAUCAGGAGGUUAGUGCAAUGGCAUAAGCCAGCUUGACUGCGAGCGUGACGGCGCGAGCAGGUGCGAAAGCAGGUCAUAGUGAUCCGGUGGUUCUGAAUGGAAGGGCCAUCGCUCAACGGAUAAAAGGUACUCCGGGGAUAACAGGCUGAUACCGCCCAAGAGUUCAUAUCGACGGCGGUGUUUGGCACCUCGAUGUCGGCUCAUCACAUCCUGGGGCUGAAGUAGGUCCCAAGGGUAUGGCUGUUCGCCAUUUAAAGUGGUACGCGAGCUGGGUUUAGAACGUCGUGAGACAGUUCGGUCCCUAUCUGCCGUGGGCGCUGGAGAACUGAGGGGGGCUGCUCCUAGUACGAGAGGACCGGAGUGGACGCAUCACUGGUGUUCGGGUUGUCAUGCCAAUGGCACUGCCCGGUAGCUAAAUGCGGAAGAGAUAAGUGCUGAAAGCAUCUAAGCACGAAACUUGCCCCGAGAUGAGUUCUCCCUGACUCCUUGAGAGUCCUGAAGGAACGUUGAAGACGACGACGUUGAUAGGCCGGGUGUGUAAGCGCAGCGAUGCGUUGAGCUAACCGGUACUAAUGAACCGUGAGGCUUAACCUU
This 2901-nucleotide ribosomal RNA is filed under the name Escherichia coli. Its description in RNAcentral is "bacterial LSU rRNA". It matches the Rfam family "Bacterial large subunit ribosomal RNA". The record is from RNAcentral. Lineage: Bacteria; Pseudomonadati; Pseudomonadota; Gammaproteobacteria; Enterobacterales; Enterobacteriaceae.